Molecule: ribosomal RNA, 1263 nt
Filed under: Triticum aestivum (bread wheat)
Lineage: Eukaryota; Viridiplantae; Streptophyta; Magnoliopsida; Poales; Poaceae
Description: partial small subunit ribosomal RNA
Source: RNAcentral
AUGGCCGAGGCGAGCAAGCGCAUCGACCUCGCCGCGCCGCUGCUCUCCGUGCGACGCCACGGCGGGUUGGGCGGCACGUUGCGGUACGGCGAACGCGGUGACGAUGCCACGCCCGGAGGCGUGCCGUUCGGGUGGGAGCGCCGGCCCGGCCACCCCAAGGGCGUAUGCACGACCCAGAGCGCGCCACCGCUGCCCGGGCCGGACCAGGAGGCCGCGGUGCGGUUCUCGGACGCGCUCUCCCGGCCCGACAGCUGCUACACCGUGAGCUGCAGCGACGCGGCCGGCGCGACGGUGUCGGCGUCGGCGUCGGCGGCCCCGAGCCCCCGGGGCAGCGUCAUGAUGGACCGCUUCUUGCUGGCGGCCAAGGAGCAGUGCGUCUUCCGGAAGGCCGCUGCCGCUGCUGCCAAGACGCGUGCCAGCCACAGGUUGCCGGAGCGCCUCCCUGUCCAGCACCUGCCGGCGAGCCACGUGCAGCGUAGCCAUGUAAAGGACACGGACGACAACGGGGAGGAGGAGGAGGAGGAUAAAUGGGAGGUGCACAGCACGGCGGGCUUCGCGUCCAAGAGAAAGUGCGGGCUGCUCCCCGCCCGGUGUGCCAGGAGCGCCCUGCUGCUCCUGAACCCAGCGCGGUCCACGAUGAGGCGCCGCCGCCGCGGCGCGCGGCGCCUCCUGUCCGGCUGCGGCAGCAGCCGGCGCGAGACGAACCCGCUCCUGCCGCGGAUCGGGCAUCAGCACCCUGAUCACGACGCUGGCACGGUCACGCGAAGCAGCUGGGAGGAGGUGUACAUCAGCUCACUCCGGCGAUCGGACCGAGGCGCCGUCCAUCCCAAGGCCACCCAUCUCGGCUUGCUCCUGGUCCUCGACAGGGCCGACGGCGGUGCGGCCUCGCCGCUGCCGCCUCCCAAUCCCAAGUGCGGCAGACCGCCGACGGCGAAGGCGAACGUCCGCGGGCUCAACGCCGUCGGCCAGGGCUUCCCACCGCCGCUACCUCCCUCGCAGGAGAGGACCGUGGCUCGCCGUGACGACAAGAUGGUGCUCGCAUUGCCGUCGCCCAAGACGCCGUCGGAGUCGUGGCUCUCGCGUACGCUGCCGACCGUGUCGUCGAACAGGCUGCCGGCCACUUCGUUCAUGGGGCUCCACGUGCAGCAGCUCAGGAAUCAGCGCGCUGCGUCUCGCUGGUGCUCCAGCGAUCAGGCCAAGGUUGUCGAUCAUGGCGCCAGGGGCGGGCCACGGCAGAUACGAAUAUAUGAUCUGCACAAGUGA